Molecule: long non-coding RNA, 688 nt
Organism: Toxorhynchites rutilus septentrionalis
Lineage: Eukaryota; Metazoa; Arthropoda; Insecta; Diptera; Culicidae
Exons: 3
Source: RefSeq, a predicted model, not a curated record
AGAGCGGACAAUUAUGACUUGUUUGGCUGCGUGACUGGGGGUUUGAGGAAAUUCGCGGUUCAAAAAGAACAUUAUUUGCUUCGGCAAAUAUUGUUCCCCUGAAGUAAAAAGGCUAAUUGUUUCAAGGGACUCGAACGCUUUUGCUCGUCCACUUUGAUCCAAUCAGUGGAAGAGGCAGCAGUGCGAUUUUUCAAAAUCGCGUCGCGGUGUGACUUUACAAGGAAUUUAACGAAAGUUUUCGAAGACUUUAGAUAUCCGUUAAGUGUCUGUGCUUGUGAAAUAAAGCUCAAACAGCCGUUCGACGGCUGUUUGUUAGGGAUUAUUUCCCAGGUAGACACUCCUUGGAAGCUCGGUGCAUCGCACUCAAUCAGCCGGACGCACUUCUGACCCCACGGUUGGAGUCAAAGUUUCCCGACAAGCCUAUUUCCGUCGGAAGGGAGUGCUACGUCACUACAGCACUCCGGACAGAGCAAGCAGAGCGAUAAAGUCAAAACGUGAGUACCCAUCCCGUUAUAACAUGCGCAUGUGGGUGGGUAUUUUUAAACUUGGAACUGAUGAGACAGUGAACACUGAAAUAAAGUUUACGCUUAAGAAAAUGGAGACGCACGUGGCACGGAAUUGUUAGGGAUGUUAGGGAAAAUGAAAUUGUAAUUUAGCUAGUUAAUAAAUGUUUAAAUGAUAUUUAGUU